Salmo salar (Atlantic salmon) is the source of this 878-nucleotide non-coding RNA. NCBI's taxonomy places the organism in Eukaryota, Metazoa, Chordata, Actinopteri, Salmoniformes, Salmonidae. The record is from RefSeq and is a predicted model, not a curated record.
ACAAAACCGGCCCUCUGUGGAAUGAGUUUGACACCCCUGCCCGGGACGUCACUAGGGCUAUUCAUUAGACCCCCCCUAAAUAAAUCACUAUAUCAGUCAAUAUAUUUUCUCUGUGAUGUAUUUUUUUCCCAUCAAACGUUCCAUCGCAUCUUAAACUUAUUACGGGCGGGCACUAGGACCUGGGGGGGGCUGCUGCUGCAGAGGCUGUUGCACGCGCUAAUGACAGUUAGGUCUACUUGUAGCUAACGUUAGCUACUGCUGUGGCUUGAGACUGCUAGCUAACAGUAAACUGACAGGAAAAGGCUCUGAUAGGACGGAUUCAUGCAGAUAGGCUACGAUGUGAAUUUGUGGCUAGCUAAUGACUAACGUUAGAUGGAUAUACGGAAAUUCUUCAAGAGAGGCAGUGCCAGCAGCUCUGCCGAAGGCCAAUCCGCAGACAAGAAUGAGGGAAAGAAGCUGGAAAGGGCUGAGGGAGCAUGUCUGAUGAAGGUUAGUGAUUAAAAAAAGCGAGUAGAUGUUUAAGCUUUCAGUUAAAUUUGUACAGCAUGUCUUACUUUUGUUAGGCAUAAAUAAUGUUCAUGAUAUCUUAAAGGGUCAUGCAGAAAGAGAGGCUUCUAUGCAAGGCAGAGAUCAACAUGCGAGCUGUAUAAGUGAGAGAGAGCAAGCAUGCCCAGAGAAAGAGGGACAAGAAACAGAUCCAGAGAGGGAGGGACAACAAACAGAUCCAGAGAGAGAGGGACAACAAACAGAUCCAGACGUGGGAGGGACAACAAACAGAUCCAGAGCGAGAGGAACAGCGAAACAGAUACAGAGCGAGAGGAACAGCGAACAGAUCCAGAGCGAGAGGGACAAGAAACAGAUCCAGAGAGAGAGGGACA